GGGAGGGUGUGUCCCUGUUUCCACUUGUCGGCUCUCUACGCAUCCGGGCGCAGGGCUGUUUUCUUUCCUCCGACCAAAAAAAAAAAAAAAAAAGAGAGCGAGAGAGCGGGAGCCCGAGAGCGGGAGCCCGAGGUCGAGGGCCCCCUCCUUCUCCAGCAGAAGACCCUCUGGAAUGAACAGCAGCAGGCGACGCACACCUUGCGAGCUCUAGAUUUCAAAACUCGCUGUUAAUUCCCGGUGCUGCGUGCUCUGAGCGCCGUCUUCGCCAUCCAACCCAGACGGGGAUGAGACGAAAACAGCGUCCGGCAUCUGGAGGGGGCAGGGCCGCUCAGGAAGUUUGUUUUCCCCACCGAGCUUGGAGAAGACGGAUUGAAGCGGGUCGGCCGAGGCCUCUCCCACCUCCACAACCUCCAAGGCCUCUGCCCCGGGCUGCGGUGCCGGGCCCCUGCUCGCUGGCGAGUGCGGUGUGAGGCGGGCAGCCCGGGCCUACCCCUGCGGAGGUUUGUAGUUCACGGUAUAGGGGCCCAAACCCGAGUUUUUUGGGAAAGUAUCUCCCACAGAAUUGGCUUCUCUUUUGAAGCACGUUUUUAAUUGAAGAAGCUUCGGAACCGGUAUUGAGUUCUUCUAACUACUGGGAAAUCGGAUGCUUUGUUUUGAGACUACUUAUUUUUGAAAGCAAACCAAAGGCAUUAAAGAGCAACCUAAACCAAUUACAGUAGGGUUGUUAGAUAAAAUAUAGGAUGCCCAGUUAAACUUGAAUUUUAGAUACAAAUAGUGAAGUAUGUCCCAAAUAUUGCAUGGGUCACAUUUAUUAUUUUAAAAAUGAAAUAUCUGGGAUAUACUAAAUUAUUUGGUGUUUAUCUGAAUUCAAAUUUAACUGGGCACUCCGCAUUUUUAUCUCCUGAAUCUGCAAGAGGGUUCAGUUAAUGAAUCAAAAUUGGCAAACCUGCAAUAAGUGGCAAAUCACUCCUGGCGGUAAUCUCCUUUCCUUAUUGAAAAGGGAAAGAAUCACAAGUUUCUACUAUAGUAAAAACUUUAUCACUAUUAAAGGCUGAUUCACCUGUGUUAACUAGCAUGUCUUUCAAAAUACAGUUGCCCCAGAUGGAGAGUGACACAUGAAACUUUAAGUUCAUAUGGGAAGGUAAAUUACCUUACCUGAAUCUUUUCCUCCUAUUAGCUAGUGCUCCAAGUGAAAGAAGCGUGUAUUUUUGUUUUUUUGUUGUGAAGGGUUCUUGUUUAAUACAACUGAAAAGAAUGCCUAUACAAAGAAUUGACAUGAAAAAGCAUUGAUUCAACACUCAUGAGCUAGGUUCUGAAAGGUGUAAAAAAAUUACCUGAACAUUUUUAGAAAUUGGAAACUACAACUAAAACUGAUAAAAAUCCCUAUUAACAUUUGUGAAGAAUCUUGAUAAUGUGUCCUGAAUUGGUGGGUUCUUGGUCUCACUGACUUCAAGAAUGAAGCCGCGGACCCUGGUGGUGAGUGUUACAGUUCUUAAAGGUAGCGUGUCCGGAGUUUGUUCUUUCUGAUGUUCGGACAUGUUUGGAGUUUCUUCCUCCUGGUGGGUUCAGUGGUUUCGCUGGCUUCAGGAGUGAAGCUGCAGACCUUGGCAGUGAGUGUUACAGCUCUUAAGGUGGCGCGUCCGGAGUUGUUCAUUCCUCCCAGUGGGUUCGGGUCUCACUGGCCUCAGAAAUGAAGCUGCAAACCUUCACGGUGAGUGUUACAGAUCAUAAAGGCAGUGCAGACCCAAAGAGUGAGCAGCAGCAAGAUUUAUUGCAAACAACAAAAGAACAAAGCUUCUAGAGCGUGGCACGGGACCCAGACAGGUUGCCACUGCUGGCUCUGGCAGCCUGCUUUUAUUCCCCCAUCUGGCCCCACCCACAUCCUGCUGAUUGGUCCAUUUUACAGAGCGCUGAUUGGUCCGUUUUGACAGGGUGCUGAUUGAUGUGUCUACAAUCCCUGAGCUAGAUACAGAGUGCUGAUUGGUGUAUUUACAAUCCUUUAACUGGAUAUAAAGGUUCCCCAAGUCCCCACUAGAUUAGCUAGACACGGAGCACUGAUUGGUGCAUUUACAAACCUUGAGCUAGACACAGGGUGCUGAUUGGUGUGUUUACAAUCCUUUAGCUAGACAUAAAGGUUCUCCAAGUCCCCAGGAGAUUAGCUAGAUACAGAGUGCUGAUUGGUGCAUCCACGAACCCUGAGCUAGACACAGAGCACUGAUUGGUGCAUUUACAAACCUUUAGCUAGACAGAGUGCUGAUUGGUGCAUUUACAAUCCUCUAACUAGACAUAAAAGUUCUCCAAGUCCCCACCCCUCUCAGGAGCCCAGUUGGCUUCCCCUAGUGGAUGCCAUGCCAGGGUUGCGGGCUGAGCUGCUUGCCAGUCCUGCGCUCGUGCCUCGUGCCUGCACUCAGCAGCCCUUGGGCAGUCAAUGGGACUGGACGCCGCUGAGGCAGGGGCGGUGCCCCUCAGGGAGGCUAGGGCCUAGCAGAAGCCCACCGCGGGGGGACUUGCACAUGGCGGGCUGCAGAUCCGAGCCCUGCCCCAUGGGGAGGUGGCUGAGGCCUGGUGAGAAUUUGAGCGUGGCGCGGGCCGGCUGGCAGUGCUGGGGGACCUGACGCCCCCCUCUGCAGCUGCUGGCCCAGGUGCUAAGCCCUUCACUGCCCGGGCCGGGGGUGCCGGCCGCCCUCCGAGUGCGGGGCCACGGAGCCCACGCCCACCCGGAACUCGCGCUGUCCCGCAAGGCCACAUGCAGCCCCG
Molecule: long non-coding RNA, 2757 nt
Filed under: Homo sapiens (human)
Lineage: Eukaryota; Metazoa; Chordata; Mammalia; Primates; Hominidae
Description: non-protein coding lnc-CASP6-5:1
Source: RNAcentral